Molecule: long non-coding RNA, 203 nt
Filed under: Mytilus galloprovincialis (Mediterranean mussel)
Lineage: Eukaryota; Metazoa; Mollusca; Bivalvia; Mytilida; Mytilidae
Source: RNAcentral
UGAACCGAACUUUGAGCUAUGAUGGUUAUUCUGUUCAUUUAUUUUUUUAUAUUUCUACAAUAGUAAAAGAGAUGUUUGUUUUAUAUAAAAAAAAGAUCAGUAACACUCUUUAGUCACUGGGUAUAUACAUUUAGAAAACGAAAAAAGAGACUUAACAGGUAUAUAUACUAAUAUAUAUUGAAAAAAAACCAAAAAACCCAAAC